GCUUCAUGAUGAUAUCAAGGCAAAUGUGACUUCAUUGGCAGGCUGCUCCCUCAACCUGUUCCCUUUAUUAAGGUCUGUAAUCUUGGUGGUCAAUACAGAGUAAUGUGUGUUCACUGUAAGGGCAGACCGACAGGAUGUCCCAUUCCUUCUGCCUUCCAGUCUGGAAGUGAUCCAUCUCUUUGUAAAGCGAUACAAGGAGUGUUUAAAUGAGUGGGAACAGGACAAGCUUAGUGUGGCAGGGUUAUGGGUUGUUGGGUGUUGCCAGAGUUAUGGCUGUUGAGGCACCAUGAGCACAAGUCUUUGGUAAUCUGAAAGCU
Small nucleolar RNA from Elgaria multicarinata webbii, 317 nucleotides. The record is from RefSeq and is a predicted model, not a curated record. NCBI's taxonomy places the organism in Eukaryota, Metazoa, Chordata, Lepidosauria, Squamata, Anguidae.